Molecule: ribosomal RNA, 1343 nt
Filed under: uncultured bacterium
Lineage: Bacteria
Description: 16S ribosomal RNA
Rfam family: Bacterial small subunit ribosomal RNA
Source: RNAcentral
GACGAACGCUGGCGGCGUGCUUAACACAUGCAAGUCGAACGGAAAGGCCCUGCUUUUGUGGGGUGCUCGAGUGGCGAACGGGUGAGUAACACGUGAGUAACCUGCCCUUGACUUUGGGAUAACUUCAGGAAACUGGGGCUAAUACCGGAUAGGAGCUCCUGCUGCGUGGUGGGGGUUGGAAAGUUUCGGCGGUUGGGGAUGGACUCGCGGCUUAUCAGCUUGUUGGUGGGGUAGUGGCUUACCAAGGCUUUGACGGGUAGCCGGCCUGAGAGGGUGACCGGCCACAUUGGGACUGAGAUACGGCCCAGACUCCUACGGGAGGCAGCAGUGGGGAAUAUUGCACAAUGGGCGGAAGCCUGAUGCAGCAACGCCGCGUGCGGGAUGACGGCCUUCGGGUUGUAAACCGCUUUUGCCUGUGACGAAGCGUGAGUGACGGUAAUGGGUAAAGAAGCACCGGCUAACUACGUGCCAGCAGCCGCGGUGAUACGUAGGGUGCGAGCGUUGUCCGGAUUUAUUGGGCGUAAAGGGCUCGUAGGUGGUUGAUCGCGUCGGAAGUGUAAUCUUGGGGCUUAACCCUGAGCGUGCUUUCGAUACGGGUUGACUUGAGGAAGGUAGGGGAGAAUGGAAUUCCUGGUGGAGCGGUGGAAUGCGCAGAUAUCAGGAGGAACACCAGUGGCGAAGGCGGUUCUCUGGGCCUUUCCUGACGCUGAGGAGCGAAAGCGUGGGGAGCGAACAGGCUUAGAUACCCUGGUAGUCCACGCUGUAAACGGUGGGUACUAGGUGUGGGGUCCAUUCCACGGGUUCCGUGCCGUAGCUAACGCUUUAAGUACCCCGCCUGGGGAGUACGGCCGCAAGGCUAAAACUCAAAGGAAUUGACGGGGCCCCGCACAAGCGGCGGAGCAUGCGGAUUAAUUCGAUGCAACGCGUAGAACCUUACCUGGGUUUGACAUGGAUCGGGAGUGCUCAGAGAUGGGUGUGCCUCUUUUGGGGUCGGUUCACAGGUGGUGCAUGGCUGUCGUCAGCUCGUGUCGUGAGAUGUUGGGUUAAGUCCCGCAACGAGCGCAACCCUUGUUCACUGUUGCCAGCACGUUAUGGUGGGGACUCAGUGGAGACCGCCGGGGUCAACUCGGAGGAAGGUGGGGAUGACGUCAAGUCAUCAUGCCCCUUAUGUCCAGGGCUUCACGCAUGCUACAAUGGCUGGUACAGAGAGUGGCGAGCCUGUGAGGGUGAGCGAAUCUCGGAAAGCCGGUCUCAGUUCGGAUUGGGGUCUGCAACUCGACCUCAUGAAGUCGGAGUCGCUAGUAAUCGCAGAUCAGCAACGCUGCGGUGAAUACGUUCCCGGG